AUGAGUACGGAGGAGGAGGAGGAGGAAUUAUACGAUGGGGAAGAGUACAGUUAUGAAUAUGAGGAUUCCACAGAUGAUCCCUUACUGUCAAUGGAAAAGCAAGGGGAGUUUGAAAUCACAACAGAAAGCACACUACAUGGAAUGAGCAAAGAGAAGGGGGAAUUCAUCACACCUAUCCUUCCCAGCACAACAGAAGAAACAGAGAAGGAUUCCACAGAUGAUCCCUUACUGUCAAUGGAAAAUCAAGGGGAGUUUGAAAUCACAACAGAAAGCACACUACAUGGAAUGAGCAAAGAGAGUGGCCUGACAACUUUAGGUCCAUAUCCAUCCCAGUCACCGGGUGACAGUGAAAAGAAGGGGGAAUUCAUCACACCUAUCCUUCCCAGCACAACAGAAGAAACAGAGAAGGGGAGACCAUCUCAAGUCCGGGUCAGAGUAAGGAAGAGCGUCCCCUGGCCAGAUUACAUGGCAUACAUGCCAGGAACUGCAGGAGGAAGAAAUCGAUACCAUGACGGACAAGAAUCACAGUCGGGAGCAAGAGGUCCCAAGAAAUUACAUAGACAGAACCAAGAAAACAGAGACCCUCAGCCUGACCAUGAAUCCUAUACAGAGAGGGAGGUCGACUAUGAAACAGAAAGAGACUGGGAGACACCAACAGAGAUGGAGGGAGAGAGAGAAGAACCCAUAGCAGCAGAGGAAGAGACACCAUGGGAAAGACAUAGAGAGAGGGAGAUGGUAGAAAAGAAAGGAAAAGAGACGGAAGGAGAGAUAUACCAUGAUGCAGAAAGAGAGGGAGAGGAGGAGAGAAGUGGCGACUCUGAGUGGGACACGGAGGAAGACAGUGAAUACGAGAGGGAGAGAGAGAGGGAAAGGAUGGAGAUGGAGAGAGAGAGGAUGGAGCUUGAAAAAGAGAGGGAAGCAGAGCUGGAGUUGCAGAGGGAGAAAAUAGAGAGGGAGAGACAACUAGAGAGGGAGAACAUGGAAAAGGAGAGAGACCUGCAAAUGGAGACGGAGAGUGAAAUAGAGAGCGAGAGAACAGAGAUGGAGGGAGGCAGAGACCUGGACAGGGAGAGAGAGGAGUGGGAGAGACGGAGGCAGGAGAUGGAAAGAGAGAGUGGAAGACAAGGAGAGUACGAGGAGGAAGGAGGAGUAAGACCCUAUCCAGGGCCAGAAUAUGACUAUUUGAAGGGUGCACCGGGUGAAAAUGGACUUCCAGGACCGAAGGGGGAACUUGGUGAAAAGGGGCACAAGGGUGAGCCAGGUAUUGGCCACAGAGGUCCUGUGGGACAGGCUGGUCCACCUGGAACUAAGGGUGAGCCUGGUGAACAGGGGCCUUCUGGAGCUCAGGGUAUCCAGGGUAUCCGUGGUAACCCCGGUAUUUCAGGUUCUCAGGGCGUGAGAGGCCAACCAGGAGACCCAGGAGAGGCGGGGAG
This 1433-nucleotide long non-coding RNA is filed under the name Salmo salar (Atlantic salmon). Its description in RNAcentral is "lncRNA (ENSSSAG00000107711.1)". Lineage: Eukaryota; Metazoa; Chordata; Actinopteri; Salmoniformes; Salmonidae. The record is from RNAcentral.